UACGAAGGGGGCUAGCGUUGUUCGGAAUCACUGGGCGUGAAGCGCACGUAGGCGGACUUUUAAGUCAGGGGUGAAAUCCCGGGGCUCAACCUCGGAACUGCCUUUGAUACUGGAAGUCUUGAGGCCGAGAGAGGUGAGUGGAAUUCCGAGUGUAGAGGUGAAAUUCGUAGAUAUUCGGAAGAACACCAGUGGCGAAGGCGGCUCACUGGCUCGGUACUGACGCUGAGGUGCGACAGCGUGGGGAGCAAACAGG
RNAcentral lists this ribosomal RNA (253 nucleotides) under uncultured bacterium. Its description in RNAcentral is "partial 16S ribosomal RNA". It matches the Rfam family "Bacterial small subunit ribosomal RNA", at positions 524 to 776 of the family's 1533-position model. The record is from RNAcentral.